CUGCCUAGAAAAUCGCAACUUUAAAUUUUCUGUCGGUCUUAGUACACUACAGAAGAGUCAAGUUUUAAAUCGAAAAAAUAUAUAAACUCUUUGGUUAUUUUUGAGCGCGAUGCUAAUGGUCUAAUCAGAUUCAAUGGAUUUUGCUAAGCUAUGCUAAAAGUGGUAGCGCGGCUAGCGCCAGACCCGGAGAUCGGCUGAAUGGAUUCCAAAACGGUAAAAAUCUAAUGUUUAACUCUAGGGGAGCUGGAAAAUGAGCAUAUUUUCAAAAAAAGUGGAGUGUCCCUUUAAGUGUUCUGUGUGCAAUCCAAUCAUUUAUAUAGAUCAGUGGGCAUGUCGAGCAAUGCGACAAAGUUGACAAAAGUUUAACUUUAUGCAAAUAAUGAGUGACUUCCAAUGAGAGCGAAGUAAUUGAGUCAUUCUGGAGUGGACGGUUACUGGAGUGGGCGGUACUCAUUUGUUUAUGACAACCAGAUUUAGAAACGCCUCCUAACCCUUCAUUGAAAGAGACGAGUGACACACUGCAACAAAGUCGCUUGUAAUGUGUAUGGGGCAUUAGAGUGUCAAAAAUAUAGUAUAUAAUGAUGCAAAUGUUUAACUUAGUUUUAAAUAUUAUGUUUAUGAAUGCAUAUUUCUUUACCACCUGAUGAUCCAAUCCAUGAAACAAUUUCUGCAAAAUGUAAAUGUGGCACCAGUGGGAUUUCCAUACGAUAUGAUUGCAUGUGCACAUACUUGACACUUAAGUGUUGAACUGCUAACAAGUCCCAUGCUCAUUUGGACGUAUGCAUACACAUUGCCUGCCUGACUAGAUGCUCCCAGAAAGAGGGGGAAUGAAUGCAGUAGUUCUGAAAGAGCGUUUGGCUCAGUUCAAAUAGUUGCCAUGGUUUCAAGAUGUUACCAUGGAAACACAAGCUGCCAAUAAAACGAAUCUGAACGCAAUCUUUGCAAGGAGAGGGAUGGAGGGAGGAAAGGAGAAAGGUAAAGUGCGGUUAAAAGAGAAAAAGCAAAGAGAGAGAGAGAGUCAGCGCUCCUAUGGAUUGCGUCCCACAGUAAAGUGAGCAAUAAGGUGGACGUUUGGCAGGGUGGGGAUAUGUGCUCGGAGGAAAACAAACGUCCUUCUACAGGACAAACAAAGGAGAAAGAGAUGAUGACACACCAGAACGAGACGACAGGAUGUGAGAGUUGAUCAUCGGAAAAUUACGGAAAACCCAGUUUACAAGCAAAAUUAGAAAAUGAGGAUAUAUGCCGAGGGAAAACAGGGCUGGUUCUAGGAUUGGAGGCUUUGGGAGAUUUAAAAGUAUAGAGGAAUACAUCUUUAUGCAAAGUGCAGUGUUUUUUGUUAGUAUGAGGGAGCUUUGU
Misgurnus anguillicaudatus (oriental weatherfish) is the source of this 1356-nucleotide long non-coding RNA. RefSeq lists it as uncharacterized. NCBI's taxonomy places the organism in Eukaryota, Metazoa, Chordata, Actinopteri, Cypriniformes, Cobitidae. The record is from RefSeq and is a predicted model, not a curated record.